Molecule: small nuclear RNA, 104 nt
Organism: Vombatus ursinus (common wombat)
Lineage: Eukaryota; Metazoa; Chordata; Mammalia; Diprotodontia; Vombatidae
Source: Ensembl
GUGCUUGCUUCGGCAGCAUAUGUACUAAAACUGGAAUGAUGCAAAGAUUAGCAUGGCCGUUGCGCAAGAAUGACACACAAAUUCAUGAAACAUUCCAUAUUUUU